RNAcentral lists this ribosomal RNA (497 nucleotides) under uncultured bacterium. RNAcentral describes it as "partial 16S ribosomal RNA". It matches the Rfam family "Bacterial small subunit ribosomal RNA", at positions 30 to 523 of the family's 1533-position model. The record is from RNAcentral.
AUUGAACGCUGGCGGCAGGCUUAACACAUGCAAGUCGAGGGGUAGCAGGGUAGCAAUACCGCUGACGACCGGCGCACGGGUGAGUAACACGUAUCCAACCUACCAUUCACACGGGGAUCGCCUUUCGAAAGAAAGAUUACUACCCGAUAGUAUAGCGAGAGGGCAUCCUUUUGCUAUUAACGAAUUUCGGUGUUUGAUGGGGAUGCGUUCCAUUAGAUGGGUGGUGAGGUAACGGCUCACCAAGUCUUCGAUGGAUAGGGGUUUUGAGAGGAAGGAGACCAACAUUGGAACUGAGACACGGUCCAAACUCCGAGGGGAGGCAGCAGUAAGGAAUAUUAGUCAAUGGACGAGAGUCUGAACCAGCCAAGUAGCUGGAAGAAUGAAGGCCCUAUGGGUCGUAAACUUCUUUUAUAGGGGAAUAAAGUGCGGAACGUGUUCCGCUUUGUAUGUACCCUACGAAUAAGGAUCGGCUAACUCCGUGCCAGCAGCCGCCGUAA